AAGGAUCAUUAUCGUAUAACUGAGGCGCGACGGCUGUCGCUGACCUUUCGGUCGUGCACGCCCGAGUGUUCUCAAAAACAUCCAUCUCACCCCUUGUGCACCACCGCGUGGGCACCCUUUCGACUCGUUCGGAGGGGAGCUCACGUUUUCACACAAACUCUAUACGGUGUAGAAUGUCUUCCUUUGCGAUCACACGCAAUUAAUACAACUUUCAACAACGGAUCUCUUGGCUCUCGCAUCGAUGAAGAACGCAGCGAAAUGCGAUACGUAAUGUGAAUUGCAGAAUUCAGUGAAUCAUCGAAUCUUUGAACGCACCUUGCGCCCCUUGGCAUUCCGAGGGGCACACCCGUUUGAGUGUCGUGAAAUUCUCAAAACCCUUUUCUUUUGAAAGGAUUUUGGACUUGGAGGCUUUUUGCUGGCUUCGCCUUGAAGUGAGCUCCUCCCAAACGAAUUAGUGGGGUCCGCUUUGCCGAUCCUUGACGUGAUAAGAUGUUUCUACGUCUUGGGUUCGGCACUGUCCACCUGCUUCUAACCGUCUCAUCGACAACGAUGGCGUUCCGGUCUCACCACCGUUUAAUCGGUCGGGGAGGCUUGACCCACCAAAACAAACCUUGA
This is a ribosomal RNA of 615 nucleotides. The stretch from base 207 to 360 matches the Rfam family "5.8S ribosomal RNA".